UUGGAGGGCAAGUCUGGUGCCAGCAGCCGCGGUAAUUCCAGCUCCAAUAGCGUAUAUUAAAGUUGUUGCAGUUAAAAAGCUCGUAGUUGAAUUUCGGGGUUAGUAGGUUGGUCAUGCCUCUGGUAUGUACUGGUCUCACUGAUUCCUCCUUCCUUAUGAACCGUAAUGCCAUUAAUUUGGUGUUGCGGGGAAUUUGGACUGUUACUUUGAAAAAAUUAGAGUGUUUAAAGCAAGCUAACGCUUGAAUACAUUAGCAUGGAAUAAUGAAAUAGGACGUUCGAUCUUAUUUUGUUGAUUUCUAGGAUUGACGUAAUGAUUAAUAGGGAUAGUUGGGGGCAUUAGUAUUCAAUUGUCAGAGGUGAAAUUCUUGGAUUUAUUGAAGACUAACUACUGCGAAAGCAUUUGCCAAGGGUGUUUUCAUUAAUCAAGAACGAAAGUUAGGGGAUCGAAGACGAUCAGAUACCGUCGUAGUCUUAACCAUAAACUAUGCCGACUAGGGAUCGGAUGAUGUUAAUUUUUUAAUGACUCAUUCGGCGCCUUACGGGAAAC
Molecule: ribosomal RNA, 549 nt
Filed under: uncultured Glomus
Lineage: Eukaryota; Fungi; Glomeromycota; Glomeromycetes; Glomerales; Glomeraceae
Description: SSU rRNA
Rfam family: Eukaryotic small subunit ribosomal RNA
Source: RNAcentral